ACGCGCUUCAACAUUGAAAAGUGUUCAAGUGAGGAAAGUCCGAGCACCGACGAUCAAGGAACGCCGGAUAACGUCCGGUAAAGGCGACUUUAAGGAUAGUGCAACAGAAAUAGACAGCAGCGCAAGCUGUGAUGGUGGAAAGGCGAGGUAAGAGCUCACCGGAGCUGAUAGGAGUCAGCUGCCAUGUAAACCCCGUUCCGGUGCAACACCGUGGAAAGCGAUAGAUGAUCGUACGCUUGAGGAGGUGGCUAUGAGCUGUUUGGCAACAAACAGCACAGAUAAAUGUUUGUCCAAGACAGAACUCGGCUUACAGCUAAUCU
This 320-nucleotide RNase P RNA is filed under the name human gut metagenome. RNAcentral's name for it is "Bacterial RNase P class A". It matches the Rfam family "Bacterial RNase P class A". Rfam says of the family: Ribonuclease P (RNase P) is a ubiquitous endoribonuclease, found in archaea, bacteria and eukarya as well as chloroplasts and mitochondria. Its best characterised activity is the generation of mature 5'-ends of tRNAs by cleaving the 5'-leader elements of precursor-tRNAs. RNAcentral also lists the same sequence under 1 other name. The record is from RNAcentral.